UUACUGACUAACGUAUGGUGCUCAUUAC
This 28-nucleotide non-coding RNA is filed under the name Bombyx mori (domestic silkworm). Lineage: Eukaryota; Metazoa; Arthropoda; Insecta; Lepidoptera; Bombycidae. The record is from RNAcentral.